Molecule: ribosomal RNA, 255 nt
Filed under: uncultured prokaryote
Description: partial 16S ribosomal RNA
Rfam family: Bacterial small subunit ribosomal RNA
Source: RNAcentral
ACGGGGGGAGCAAGCGUUGUUCGGAUUUACUGGGCGUAAAGGGCGCGUAGGCGGCCACCGCAAGUCAAUUGUGAAAUCUCCGGGCUUAACUCGGAAAGGUCAACUGAUACUGCGGGGCUAGAGUGCAGAAGGGGCAAUCGGAAUUCUCGGUGUAGCGGUGAAAUGCGUAGAUAUCGAGAGGAACACCUGAGGUGAAGACGGGUUGCUGGGCCGACACUGACGCUGACAGCGCGAAAGCCAGGGGAGCAAACGGGA